This is a long non-coding RNA of Aethalodelphis obliquidens (Pacific white-sided dolphin), 373 nucleotides long. RefSeq lists it as uncharacterized. The transcript has 3 exons. NCBI's taxonomy places the organism in Eukaryota, Metazoa, Chordata, Mammalia, Artiodactyla, Delphinidae. The record is from RefSeq and is a predicted model, not a curated record.
UGCGAGAAUAAAAGUUUGAGCACGGCGAUGCCCGCCAAGCAGGACACCGCUCACUUACCGGCAGGCCUACUCGCCAUUUUAACCCGAGACAGAAGCGUUGCCCGCUGGGUGAAGUUCUACCUCAAGCCAUUAUAGUGGAAGUAUUACUCAGCGCUAUACGCAGUACUAUAAAGUGGUGAAUGGCUGCUCCCAGAACUACACUAGCCAAAGUGAAGUUGGAAGAUAUGAAGAAAUGCAGUACAUUUGUAAGUUGGCACAUCACCUUACAAGAAGUACUCAGUAGGGACUUCCCUGGUGGCACAGUGGUGAAGAAUCCGCCUGCCAGUGCAGGGGACAUGGGUUCGAGCCCUGGUCCGGGGACAUCCCACAUGCC